RNAcentral lists this ribosomal RNA (1085 nucleotides) under unidentified rumen bacterium JW19. RNAcentral's name for it is "bacterial SSU rRNA". It matches the Rfam family "Bacterial small subunit ribosomal RNA", at positions 8 to 1061 of the family's 1533-position model. Lineage: Bacteria; Bacillati; Bacillota. The record is from RNAcentral.
AGAGUUUGAUCCUGGCUCAGGAUAAACGCUGGCGGCGCACAUAAGACAUGCAAGUCGAACGGAAGUCGUUAUACUGAUUUUGAUAAGAACGGAGAACUUGUUCAAAGGGACUUGAUGAAGAUUUAUAACAAUGGCUUUAGUGGCGGACUGGUGAGUAAUACGUAAGCAACCUGCCUAUUAGAGGGGAACAACAGUUAGAAAUGACUGCUAAUACCGCAUAUGCCAUAGUAACCACAUGGUUACAGUGGGAAAGGAGCAAUCCGCUAAUAGAUGGGCUUACGGCUGAUUAGCUAGUUGGUGGGGUAACGGCCUACCAAGGCGACGAUCAGUAGCCGGACUGAGAGGUUCAACGGCCACAUUGGGACUGAGAUACGGCCCAGACUCCUACGGGAGGCAGCAGUCGGGAAUUUUGCGCAAUGGAGGAAACUCUGACGCAGUGACGCCGCGUGCAGGAAGAAGGUUUUCGGAUUGUAAACUGCUUUAGACAGGGAAGAAAAAGGACAGUACCUGUAGAAUAAGCUCCGGCUAACUACGUGCCAGCAGCCGCGGUAAUACGUAGGGAGCAAGCGUUAUCCGGAUUUAUUGGGUGUAAAGGGUGCGUAGACGGGAAAAUAAGUUAGCUGUGAAAUCCCUCGGCUUAACUGAGGAACUGCAACUAAAACUGUUUUUCUUGAGUACUGGAGAGGAAAGUGGAAUUCCUAGUGUAGCGGUGAAAUGCGUAGAUAUUAGGAGGAACACCAGUGGCGAAGGCGACUUUCUGGACAGAAACUGACGUUGAGGCACGAAAGUGUGGGGAGCAAACAGGAUUAGAUACCCUGGUAGUCCACACUGUAAACGAUGGAUACUAGGUGUAGGGUGUGAUAAACGCUCUGUGCCGUCGCAAACGCAGUAAGUAUCCCACCUGGGGAGUACGGCCGCAAGGUURAAACUCAAAGGAAUUGACAGGGGCCCGCACAAGCAGUGGAGUAUGUGGUUUAAUUCGAAGCAACGCGAAGAACCUUACCAGGGCUUGACAUAUAAGUGAAUAUAUUAGAGAUAGUAUAGUCUUCGGACGCUUAUAUAGGUGUGCAUGGUGUCGUCAGCUC